GAAUACCUACGGGGGGCAGCAGUGGGGGAUAUUGCACAAUGGGGGGAACCCUGAUGCAGCGACGCCGCGUGGGUGAAGGAGUGCUUCGGCAUGUAAAGCCCUAUCGGCAGGGAAGAAGCAAGACGGUACCUGACUAAGAAGCCCCGGCUCACUACGUGCCAGCAGCCGCGGUAAUACGUAGGGGGCGAGCGUUAUCCGGAUUCACUGGGGGUAAAGGGGGCGUAGACGGCCAAGCAAGCCAGGGGUG
This 247-nucleotide ribosomal RNA is filed under the name uncultured bacterium. RNAcentral's name for it is "partial 16S ribosomal RNA". It matches the Rfam family "Bacterial small subunit ribosomal RNA", at positions 333 to 596 of the family's 1533-position model. The record is from RNAcentral.